AAAGCUCGUAGUUGAAUUUCGGGGUUAGUAGGUUGGUCAUGCCUCUGGUAUGUACUGGUCUCACUGAUUCCUCCUUCCUGAUGAACCGUAAUGCCAUUAAUUUGGUGUUGCGGGGAAUUUGGACUGUUACUUUGAAAAAAUUAGAGUGUUUAAAGCAAGCUAACGCUUGAAUACAUUAGCAUGGAAUAAUGAAAUAGGACGUUCGAUCCUAUUUUGUUGGUUUCUAGGAUUGACGUAAUGAUUAAUAGGGAUAGUUGGGGGCAUUAGUAUUCAAUUGUCAGAGGUGAAAUUCUUGGAUUUAUUGAAGACUAACUACUGCGAAAGCAUUUGCCAAGGAUGUUUUCAUUAAUCAAGAACGAAAGUUAGGGGAUCGAAGACGAUCAGAUACCGUCGUAGUCUUAACCAUAAACUAUGCCGACUAGGGAUCGGAUGAUGUUAAUUUUUUAAUGACUCAUUCGGCA
RNAcentral lists this ribosomal RNA (461 nucleotides) under uncultured Glomus. RNAcentral's name for it is "SSU rRNA". It matches the Rfam family "Eukaryotic small subunit ribosomal RNA", at positions 623 to 1085 of the family's 1831-position model. Lineage: Eukaryota; Fungi; Glomeromycota; Glomeromycetes; Glomerales; Glomeraceae. The record is from RNAcentral.